GCCCUGGAUGCAAGUGGUUCAGCACUUUGCUGCUAACCCGAGGCCUGUGGUUCGAAUCCACCAGCUGCUCCAGAGUGGAAAGAGGAGGCUGCCUGUGCCUGUCAAGAUGACAGCCUUGGAAACCCACGAGAGCCGUUCUCUUCGGUCCUAUACCGUCCGUGGUGAAAAGAGACAACAGCUCAUCUUUUGCUCUUGAACCGACUUUGGUGCAGAAUGAAGAGAGGCCAGGAAGUCCUGACCGAUCACUGAUCACAGCGAGCUAGAGAGAACCUUGUUCCUCCCUCCGAGAUUGAAGACGACAAAAAGUGGAAGACGGAAGGGCUGCAACCAAUGGAUUCGCUAAGUUUAGGAAACGUUUAAAAUACAAUUAUGAGAUGUCUUAGUUACCUAUCUAGUGCUGCUAUCACAGAAAUGUCACAAGGGUGACCGAAGCGAACAGAAAUGGAUUCUCUUACAGGCUAGAAGGCGACAUGUCCAGAGCCAGGGUCCUGGUUUUAGGAGAAGGCUCUCCACCCUCUUUCCUCUCUCAAUUCCUUUCUCUCUCUCUCUCUCUCUCUCUCUCCCUACUCCUCUCCCCUCCCCCUCCCUCCCAAGGUCCUUUCUCUUUCCAGCUUCUGUCCCUUGCUGAGCUCCACAUAGCAUGCCAUCUAUCUCCCCACCUCUGCUUGCGUCUCUGAGGAGUGAUAGGCACAGCCUACACUGAUAAGGGCUCAUCAACAUAAAGAAUCCCUGGAUCCAAGUGGGAUUCCAUCCCUAAGUAUUGGGGGUUACAAUGGAUAGCACGUGUCUUAGGGAGACAGAAUUCAGUCCACCACAGGUGUCUACAAAUACAACAGAUGCACUUGGAUGACGGUGCUGGUGGUCAACAGUGAAAGUGCCGUGGCUGCAACAAACGCGUCUGCCUGGGGGGAGGGACGGCCAGUGCCCUACUUGGAAGCGAAGAUGGAGAGACUUCCUCGCACGCAUAGACAUGUUGUCAGGGCAGAUGCGUCCCUGGAGAAGGACAUCGUGCGUGGUGGGACAAUGGUUAAGUGCUCACUCACUGCAAACCCAAGGUCACUGACUGUAACCCAGCCAAUGGCCCCAGGCAUGAGAGAGACCUGGUUAUGUGAAAGCAGCAGCCUAGGGUCCCCGAUGUGGCAGGUCCACAGGGUCACAUGGGGCCAUUGAGUCAGAGUCAGCCCGAUGACACAGAUUGGUUUAUUAAUCUUUAUGGGAUUAGAUUACAGAUCUUUCUUCCCAGGAGGCACUGGGGGGUUUGAAUUGCUUCUCUUUCAGAGCUGAACCACAGCAUCCCCCACCCCCACCCCGACUUUCCUAAGAUCAGAAUAAAAAAGAUGGAGAUGAA
Long non-coding RNA from Echinops telfairi (small Madagascar hedgehog), 1348 nucleotides. RefSeq lists it as uncharacterized. NCBI's taxonomy places the organism in Eukaryota, Metazoa, Chordata, Mammalia, Afrosoricida, Tenrecidae. The transcript is spliced from 2 exons. The record is from RefSeq and is a predicted model, not a curated record.